GGAAAGUCCGGGCUCCACAGGGCAGGGUGCCAGGUAACGCCUGGGGGCUACACUGGUGACGGUGUGGCUACGGCUAGUGCCACAGAGAAGAUACCGCCUGUUCCCUCCUUUGGAAGGAACCGGUAAGGGUGAAAAGGUGCGGUAAGAGCGCACCGCGCGGCUGGUAACAGGCGUGGCGAUGGUAAACCCCACUCGGAGCAAGACCAAAUAGGAAUCCGUAUGCUGCGGCCCGCAGUGGAUUCGGGUAGGUCGCU
RNAcentral lists this ribozyme (254 nucleotides) under Dolichomastix tenuilepis. RNAcentral's name for it is "partial Bacterial RNase P class A". It matches the Rfam family "Bacterial RNase P class A", at positions 45 to 280 of the family's 367-position model. Rfam says of the family: Ribonuclease P (RNase P) is a ubiquitous endoribonuclease, found in archaea, bacteria and eukarya as well as chloroplasts and mitochondria. Its best characterised activity is the generation of mature 5'-ends of tRNAs by cleaving the 5'-leader elements of precursor-tRNAs. The record is from RNAcentral. Lineage: Eukaryota; Viridiplantae; Chlorophyta; Mamiellophyceae; Dolichomastigales; Dolichomastigaceae.